Molecule: non-coding RNA, 123 nt
Organism: Neonectria punicea
Lineage: Eukaryota; Fungi; Ascomycota; Sordariomycetes; Hypocreales; Nectriaceae
Source: the annotation of a GenBank genome assembly
GGCAGAAUGGCCGAGUGGUCUAUGGCGACGGUUUCAAGCGCAUCAAAUGUGUACUUUCAACUGCGAAAAGCAGAGAAUAGUCCGUUCACGAAAGUGGCAGGGGUUCGAAUCCCCUUUCUGUCA